This 215-nucleotide long non-coding RNA is filed under the name Solanum lycopersicum (tomato). RNAcentral's name for it is "partial TCONS_00178458". Lineage: Eukaryota; Viridiplantae; Streptophyta; Magnoliopsida; Solanales; Solanaceae. The record is from RNAcentral.
CCCUUUGGUAAUGUGGCAUGGUAUUGGAGCCCUUUAGGUUUCCUGUGCAUGUAGUCCUGGAUUGAAGGAGACCUAUAGAGCUUCAGCUCGCUUACAGGAAAGUUGAGAGAGGCAUAUCGUCACAAGUUCCGGUUCUACACUAUGAUGGAUGUUAGUUGUCGAAUUCCAAAACCUUUGUUGAGGCAGUCAAAAGUGCUUUCCUGGAGAUCCCUUUU